AUCUAUCCUAACAAACUCCGAGCCUCGGGCGACGGUGUCCGUGUCAAGAACUGAAGAUGAGUUCUUUGAGUUUAGCUUCAAUCUUCGCUGGUGCUGCUGGUGGCUACCGGAGUCUUGGUGCGUCCGUUACCAUCCGGCGCACUUUAGCGGUCGUUCAUUGUCAUUUUAACAAGCACCAAAACAAGAAUGCUUUAAUUUGGUAUUCACUGAGUUCACGUAAGAGAUCGUUUGGCUGUGAAUCCUCGAGACAGGAAGUUGCUCACUCAACGACCACUUCUUCUGCUAAUGGAUACCUGGACUAUGAUCGAUUGCUUCCAUGUCCUGCACAGAGUAGACCACCAAGAGUUGAGCACUUAGUUGUUUUGGAGGAAGGGCCCGUGCUAGGGUAUAUCUGCAAAGCUCUGGAGCUUCCUCCUUUGUAUGUUGCAGACCUUAUACAGUUUGGAGCUGUGCAUUAUGCCCUUGUAUGCCCACAGCCACCUCCAACUGCUACUCCAGAGCAGAUUAGAUUAUUUGAAGAAUUUACAUCACCGUCAGUUCUUAAGAACAGGGCUUCCAUUAAAGGGAAGACGGUAAGAGAAGCACAAAAAACUUUUCGGAUAAAUCAUGUAGACCAGUUUCUUGAAGUUGGAACAUAUUUGCGUGUUUAUGUACACCCAAAACGCUUCCCAAGGUGCUAUGACAUUGAUUGGCAAUCAAGGAUUAUAGCUGUCACGGAAUCUUACGUUGUUUUGGACAAGCCAGCUGGUACAUCAGUAGGAGGAACUACAAAUAAUAUAGAAGAAAGUUGUGCAACCUUUGCCACUCGUGCGUUGGGAUUAACAGCCCCAUUGAAGACCACCCAUCAAAUUGAUAAUUGCGCGGAGGGCUGUGUUGUGUUAGCUAGGACUAAUGACUACUGCUCAGUUUUCCAUAGAAAAAUCAGACAGGAGAAAACAGUGAAGAAGCUCUAUCUUGCUCUUGCAGCAUCUCCUAUGCCAAUUGGUUUGAUUACUCACUACAUGCGUCCUGUUAAUAUUGCUCCAAGACUCGUUUCAGAAGAAUUUAUGCAAGGAUGGCAAUUGUGCCAACUUGAGAUCUUGGAAUGCAAAAAGGUUCCUUGGCCAGAUGCUAGAACUAUGGAGAAAUAUUCUGUUGAAGACUGUGGGUGGUCCUCAAAAGAUUAUGCAUAUGAGUGUAAGAUCAAUCUUUUGACUGGUCGGACACAUCAGAUUCGAGCUCAACUGGCUGCCUGUGGUGCACCAUUGGUGGGUGACUCAAUCUACAUGCCAGCUGUAAUUGCAGAAAUGACUAACCCUGGGCUUAACCCAUUUGGCAAACACAAAAAACUAUAUGCUAACGAAGAUGAUGAAUCAAUAGCUAUUGCUGAGUGGGUCAAACAGCACAGAAAGGAACCAAAUGUUGCUAUUGGUCUUCAGGCCUGCCAAAUUUCAUGGGAUGAUGGCCAGCAUAUUUAUAAGGCUGGAUCUCCCUGGUGGCAACACAGAAUUGCUUAGAACAGGAUUCUAGGGUUCUGAAUUGCCAGUGCUGCUGAGUCAACUCACUUCUGAAGUGAUUUUUUUUCCUGUACUGUUGGCAAAUAUAAGGUCUAUGAUAUGCAGGCAUGGAUUAUCAAAAGGCAGGGUGCAGCUCUAAUGACAAGGAAUCGAGCGGUUCAUGCCGAUGGUAUUAGAAGAAGCAGCAAGGCAAAUACAACUGUUGAAGAGAAAAUUUUUGGUUACAUUACAUGGUUAGACAUCCUGCUGGAUUCUGCUCUUCAAACUCUAAUGCUAUCCAAUUAAUAGCGAUAUCGACCACAACAUUGUAAUUAAACGGGAUUAAGUGUGAAGAUGAAGAUGGAACCUGGAGUCACUUGUCAGAAUCGGGGAGCGAUAGAGAAAAAUGGCUUCUGUUACAUAGAGCCAGAAAGCUUUAAGCAGAAGGAUUGUUAGAUGAAACGACUACGCUUUCAUGGUCGUUUGAUGACAGAACGGCUGUUUUUGGAAACAAUUAAAAGUUCUGUUAUCGUCAAAUGAUACUACUCCUCUAUUUACUGUGACGUGUGGGGUCGUCAAUUUUUUACCUACUGGUGAGCGAACUGCCCUUUUACGGAAAUAACUGAAAAAUCUGUAUCCGUCAUAUUACGUCAUUAUCCAAUUAUUCCUCAUUAUUAUUA
Molecule: RNA transcript, 2155 nt
Organism: Jatropha curcas
Lineage: Eukaryota; Viridiplantae; Streptophyta; Magnoliopsida; Malpighiales; Euphorbiaceae
Gene name: Pseudouridine synthase family protein
Source: RefSeq, a predicted model, not a curated record